Molecule: long non-coding RNA, 1359 nt
Organism: Felis catus (domestic cat)
Lineage: Eukaryota; Metazoa; Chordata; Mammalia; Carnivora; Felidae
Exons: 3
Source: RefSeq, a predicted model, not a curated record
CCAGGAGAUCUGGGGCAGCGAGCUGUGCGUCUGGCAGCGCAGGUCCAGCAGCGUGGGCCCCAGGAAGGCGAUGCACAGGCCGAAGCUGAAGAAGACGCUCCAGUAGAGUGUUCAUGGCUUUCAUUGGACCCUCGAGAGGAUAAGCAUUUUAGACAGAAAACCUUGGAACUAUCCGAUCUGCACCCGAAGCUCCGCCUGAGAGCUGGUCUUCCCCGGCCGCAUCUCUGCGCGCUGGACAGGUGCAGGAAGGAGGAAGAUGAAGGUGGCUAUAGAACUGGCGAGUCCUGUGUGGUCCUGCUUCUGAGGGAGCCAGGGUUCCUGCAUUGGCCCCCGGAGGCGGAGCAGUAAGGUCCAGAGUGUCACUUCUGCUGGUGGUGGCAGGAACCACGACAUCAUGCCCACUUGGCCCUCCAGGGGGACCAGAGCCGAAAGGGCUGAGGAGGUUGGGGGGCGGGGAGGGAGUGCUCUCCUGACAACCUGGCACGAGGAGGGGGCAAUCCACUUUUCUUGCAGGGCUGGCUUCAUCUCACAGAGGCACCAUCCCUCCUCUCCUCUGAGCACAUGGGAGCAGAGCCCCAGGGCCUCUCUGGCUCAGUGGGUUGGUAGGUAGUAAGAGUUAUUUAUUCAGUAGUGAUAAUGGAGGGUCUACACAGUAUUUGUGGUUCAGUAAAAAGUUCUCCUCUAGGAAAAAAAAGAAAUGAAUCAUAACCACAAGCAUUUGGUUGGGUCCUUUCUGCCAUUUUCACAGAAUUCCAGAACCACAGAAGCUCCGAGUUGGAAAGAACAAUCUCCAAAUCGAGUCCCCUAUCCUCUCCCCAUAGUUGCUGAUAAAUGCUCAUCAGUCCUGUUCUUGGCUGAUACCUCUUACUGUUGAGGACCUUACCUAUCAUCUCCUGUGGGUCUGCUUCCAACGUGGGUCAGCUCCAGUUAGGAAGGGUUUCAUGCCCCACUGAAAUGCCCCUCCCGGUGACUCCCCACCGCCACCCACGGGACAAGUCUAAUUGCUCCGCGCAUGUUAGCCCUUCACACACACCACCCGGCCCCAGCACUUGGCUUCUCCAGCCCAAACACCUAAAAUUCUUUCAUGAUUUCUAUAGAUGGUACUCCCCAGAUCUAUCACCCUACUGGGGCAGCUCCUCCAGCCACAGUAGCCGUGACCCUGGUACAGUGCACCGUGAGGCAGCCCAUAGUGUCUGGGGUGCUAGAGGCAUUCUAUAGCUUGAUCCGGGUGGUGGUUACACAGCUAUAAACAUAUGUAAAUAUUCAUUCUUGUACAAACAUACGCAUGCUUAUGAUUUGUGUCUUUUACUGUAAGUUACAGUUGGACAAAAUAGUGGAAAGUAAAAAUAAGUAAACAAA